Molecule: ribosomal RNA, 601 nt
Filed under: Microbacterium sp. C8
Lineage: Bacteria; Bacillati; Actinomycetota; Actinomycetes; Micrococcales; Microbacteriaceae
Description: bacterial SSU rRNA
Rfam family: Bacterial small subunit ribosomal RNA
Source: RNAcentral
GUCAUGUUCUGCGUUUUGGAUAAGAUUUUUCGUUCUUGGGGUAUGGGCUCCGGCCUAUCAGCUUGUUGGUGAGGUAAUGGCUCACUCAAGGCGUCGACGGGUAGCCGGCCUGAGAGGGUGACCGGCCACACUGGGACUGAGACACGGCCCAGUACUCCUACGGGAGGCAGCAGAUGGGGAAUAUUGCACAAUGGGCGAAAGCCUGAUGCAGCAACGCCGCGUGAGGGAUGACGGCCUUCGGGUUGUAAACCUCUUUUAGCAGGGAAGAAGCGAAAGUGACGGUACCUGCAGAAAAAGCGCCGGCUAACUACGUGCCAGCAGCCGCGGUAAUACGUAGGGCGCAAGCGUUAUCCGGAAUUAUUGGGCGUAAAGAGCUCGUAGGCGGUUUGUCGCGUCUGCUGUGAAAUCCCGAGGCUCAACCUCGGGCCUGCAGUGGGUACGGGCAGACUAGAGUGCGGUAGGGGAGAUUGGAAUUCCUGGUGUAGCGGUGGCAAUGCGCAGAUAUCAAGGGAGGAACACCUGAUGGCAGAAGGCAGAUCUCUGGGCCGUAACUGACGCUGAGGAGCCGAAACGGGUUGGGGGAGCCAAACAAGGGCUUAGA